Molecule: long non-coding RNA, 152 nt
Organism: Sebastes umbrosus (honeycomb rockfish)
Lineage: Eukaryota; Metazoa; Chordata; Actinopteri; Perciformes; Sebastidae
Exons: 4
Source: RefSeq, a predicted model, not a curated record
GUGAGACUGGAGUUCAGACGUGUACUAUGCCGAGUUGCCGGAUUUUGAAUGAAUGCAGCUUCCUGUCUACUGGCCGUGGCUCAGCGCUGCUAUCGUCAAACUACAGACACACACCGAUCAUAGCUGCACUCACAGCACAGAGAGGAGCAGGA